GAUGCCUACGGGACGCAGCAGUAGGGAAUCUUCGGCAAUGGGCGAAAGCCUGACCGAGCAACGCCGCGUGAAUGAAGAAGGCCUUCGGGUUGUAAAAUUCUGUUAUAAGGGAAGAAAGGUGAUAGGAGGAAAUGACUAUCAAUUGACGGUACCUUAUGAGAAAGCCACGGCUAACCACGUGCCAGCAGCCGCGGUAAUACGUAGGUGGCAAGCGUUGUCCGGAUUUACUGGGUGUAAAGGGCGUGCAGCCGGGCUGACAAGUCAGAUGUGAAAUCCGCGGGCUUAACCCGCGAACUGCAUUUGAA
RNAcentral lists this ribosomal RNA (305 nucleotides) under uncultured bacterium. RNAcentral's name for it is "bacterial SSU rRNA". It matches the Rfam family "Bacterial small subunit ribosomal RNA", at positions 334 to 631 of the family's 1533-position model. The record is from RNAcentral.